UACGGAUACAGGUAUCCUGCGUGUUGUUACGGAUACAGGUAUCCUGCGUGUUGUUACGGAUACAGGUAUCCUGCGUGUUGUUACGGAUACAGGUAUCCUGCGUGUUGUUACGGAUACAGGUAUCCUGCGUGUUGUUACGGAUACAGAUAUCCUGUGUGUUGUUACGGAUACAGGUAUCCUGAGUGUUGUUACGGAUACCGGUAUCCUGUGUGUGUAUUUUCUUUCCUUCUCCCCUAUUCACAGGUGUCGCCAGUCAGUCACCAGUCAGUCGCCAAUCAGAAGACACCUGCUCCUUUUCCCUUACCCAAUCACAUCCUCGUUCCCUUGUUUUAAAAACCCCAGUCAGUUGUUUUCUCAAUAGCUCAAUCUCUCUGUCACUCAAUCUCUCUGGCGAUCUCGCUUUUGUUUUUG
RNAcentral lists this long non-coding RNA (411 nucleotides) under Salmo salar (Atlantic salmon). RNAcentral describes it as "lncRNA (ENSSSAG00000097664.1)". The record is from RNAcentral. Lineage: Eukaryota; Metazoa; Chordata; Actinopteri; Salmoniformes; Salmonidae.